GACUGCUCCUGCAGCUCUUGAAAGCAGAUCAGCUGUUAAAUGGAGCACCUUGUGCCCCAAAACCUCCUGCUUCAGCUGUACCCAGGAGAGCAGAGGGAAGGCGGAGCCUGAGGUUCACUGUCACGUGAAGGAACAGCUGUCUUCAGAGACACGGGGAGAGAGCUGGUCUCCCAGGAGUGUGGACACGCCUGUGAGCACAG
This 200-nucleotide long non-coding RNA is filed under the name Mus musculus (house mouse). RNAcentral describes it as "predicted gene, 48911". The record is from RNAcentral. Lineage: Eukaryota; Metazoa; Chordata; Mammalia; Rodentia; Muridae.